UACGUAGGGGGCAAGCGUUAUCCGGAUUUACUGGGUGUAAAGGGAGCGUAGACGGAUUAGCAAGCCUGAUGUGAAAGGCAGGGGCUCAACCCCUGGACUGCAUUGGAAACUGCCAGUCUUGAGUGCCGGAGAGGUAAGCGGAAUUCCUAGUGUAGCGGUGAAAUGCGUAGAUAUUAGGAGGAACACCAGUGGCGAAGGCGGCUUACUGGACGGCAACUGACGUUGAGGCUCGAAAGCGUGGGGAGCAAACAGG
RNAcentral lists this ribosomal RNA (253 nucleotides) under Blautia schinkii. RNAcentral's name for it is "partial 16S ribosomal RNA". It matches the Rfam family "Bacterial small subunit ribosomal RNA", at positions 524 to 776 of the family's 1533-position model. Lineage: Bacteria; Bacillati; Bacillota; Clostridia; Lachnospirales; Lachnospiraceae. The record is from RNAcentral.